RNAcentral lists this transfer RNA (63 nucleotides) under Bacteriophage sp. Its description in RNAcentral is "tRNA-OTHER". The record is from RNAcentral.
UAAAUUAUGAAGGACUGCCUUUUAAGCAGGGUGUCCGGAGUUCGAAUCUCCGGCGGGUCACCA